Molecule: ribosomal RNA, 490 nt
Filed under: uncultured bacterium
Lineage: Bacteria
Description: partial 16S ribosomal RNA
Rfam family: Bacterial small subunit ribosomal RNA
Source: RNAcentral
GAUGAACGCUAGCUACAGGCUUAACACAUGCAAGUCGCGGGGCAGCAUGGGGGUUGCUUGCAAUCCCCGAUGGCGACCGGCGCACGGGUGAGUAACGCGUAUCCAACCUGCCCUUCACCACGGGAUAACCCGGCGAAAGUCGGACUAAUACCGUAUGUUGUCCAUUGACGGCAUCCGAUUUGGACGAAAGGUUUGGCGGUGAAGGAUGGGGAUGCGUCCGAUUAGCUGGACGGCGGGGUGACGGCCCACCGUGGCGACGAUCGGUAGGGGUUCUGAGAGGAAGGUCCCCCACACUGGAACUGAGACACGGUCCAGACUCCUACGGGAGGCAGCAGUGAGGAAUAUUGGUCAAUGGGCGUAAGCCUGAACCAGCCAAGUAGCGUGCAGGAUGACGGCCCUAUGGGUUGUGAACUGCUUUUAUGCGGGGAUAAAGUGGCCCACGUGUGGGUUUUUGCAGGUACCGCAUGAAUAAGGACCGGCUAAUUCCGUG